RNAcentral lists this ribosomal RNA (494 nucleotides) under uncultured bacterium. RNAcentral's name for it is "partial 16S ribosomal RNA". It matches the Rfam family "Bacterial small subunit ribosomal RNA", at positions 30 to 506 of the family's 1533-position model. The record is from RNAcentral.
UGACCGCUGGCGGCGUGCCUAAUACAUGCAAAUCGAGCGAACAGACGAGGAGCUUGCUCCUCUGACGUUAGCGGCGGACGGGUGAGUAACACGUGGAUAACCUACCUAUAAGACUGGGAUAACUUCGGGAAACCGGAGCUAAUACCGGAUAAUAUAUUGAACCGCAUGGUUCAAUAGUGAAAGACGGUUUUGCUGUCACUUAUAGAUGGAUCCGCGCCGCAUUAGCUAGUUGGUAAGGUAACGGCUUACCAAGGCGACGAUGCGUAGCCGACCUGAGAGGGUGAACGGCCACACUGGAACUGAGACACGGUCCAGACUCCUACGGGAGGCAGCAGUAGGGAAUCUUCCGCAAUGGGCGAAAGCCUGACGGAGCAACGCCGCGUGAGUGAUGAAGGUCUUCGGAUCGUAAAACUCUGUUAUUAGGGAAGAACAAAUGUGUAAGUAACUAUGCACGUCUUGACGGUACCUAAUCAGAAAGCCACGGCUAACUACGU